This 326-nucleotide long non-coding RNA is filed under the name Lathyrus oleraceus (garden pea). Its description in RNAcentral is "Pisum sativum (pea) long non-coding RNA (PSAT_LNC019713)". Lineage: Eukaryota; Viridiplantae; Streptophyta; Magnoliopsida; Fabales; Fabaceae. The record is from RNAcentral.
AUGAUUCAUACUUAAUAUUUAUAUUUAGACCUCGCAACCGGACGAAAAAAAUGAAAGACUUAGAAAAAUUCAUUUAGAAAACGAAAUGGAAUUUUAUUCUUUAAAACUGUCGCCGCUUAUCCAUUUCUUUGUAUUUUUUUUCAUUAUAUCUAUUUCUUGAAAUUGAAUAAGUGAUGAUCCAGCAGUUCUUACUUAGGGAAUUCUUGGACUUCGAUUAAAGGUUUUUUUUGGAAAUCAUCGUGGUUCUGGUAUGAAUCUCAGGUUUUUAAUUGAUUCUUAUAGGGUCUUAACAAGAAAAUUCUUAUCAAUAAUAAUAAUAAAAAAAA